Non-coding RNA from Paramisgurnus dabryanus, 463 nucleotides. Lineage: Eukaryota; Metazoa; Chordata; Actinopteri; Cypriniformes; Cobitidae. The record is from RefSeq and is a predicted model, not a curated record.
GUUUGUUUUUUUGUAGUUUUUCAGUCAAUUGCAUACCGCUUUUAGCUGUACAAAACUUAAACAGUUUUCGUAAAUGCAUUUCAGAGAAAAGUGAAUUCUGAGAUUUGAAUAAUGCAUCUGACGUGUGUGUGAUGACGUCACGACGCACGUAUUUUGAUUUUUACCAGUCGUUCAAGGCGGACGGAUUCAGUCCCAAGAAGCUAAAGUUUUUCAAAGACAUUUGUAGGGAGGACUUUGCAGCUAAUGGAGCUGAAGUAUUUUAUGUAAGGAGGAUUUUGCAGCCCAUAUAGAUUUCCUUAGGCUGAACCAAAACCUGCCAGACUAAAGUUGAUUUGGGAGAGAAAGACGUUGUAAACUCAAUCAUCUUGACAUUCUUCAAUGAGUAAUUGUUCAAUUUUUAGGCAAAUACUGUACACUUUGAAUGCUGUGAAUAAAACUAUAUUUUAAAUAUAUUUAAAAUGAA